GCCUUGCUAGCUCAAUCGGUAGAGCGUGAGACUCUUACAUGCUGUCCUUAACGGACUAAAAUGACGUAAAGUGAUCAUCUCAAGGUUGGGGGUUCGACCCCCCCGUGGGGCU
Molecule: transfer RNA, 112 nt
Filed under: Sphaerobolus stellatus SS14
Lineage: Eukaryota; Fungi; Basidiomycota; Agaricomycetes; Geastrales; Sphaerobolaceae
Rfam family: tRNA
About the family: Transfer RNA (tRNA) molecules are approximately 80 nucleotides in length. Their secondary structure includes four short double-helical elements and three loops (D, anti-codon, and T loops). Further hydrogen bonds mediate the characteristic L-shaped molecular structure. tRNAs have two regions of fundamental functional importance: the anti-codon, which is responsible for specific mRNA codon recognition, and the 3' end, to which the tRNAs corresponding amino acid is attached (by aminoacyl-tRNA synthetases). tRNAs cope with the degeneracy of the genetic code in two manners: having more than one tRNA (with a specific anti-codon) for a particular amino acid; and 'wobble' base-pairing, i.e. permitting non-standard base-pairing at the 3rd anti-codon position.
Source: Rfam by way of RNAcentral